AGCGCAGACGGUUACUUAAGCAGGAUGUGAAAUCCCCGGGCUCAACCUGGGAACUGCGUUCUGAACUGGGUGACUAGAGUGUGUCAGAGGGAGGUAGAAUUCCACGUGUAGCAGUGAAAUGCGUAGAGAUGUGGAGGAAUACCGAUGGCGAAGGCAGCCUCCUGGGAUAACACUGACGUUCAUGCUCGAAAGCGUGGGUAGCAAACAGGAUUAGAUACCCUGGUAGUCCACGCCCUAAACGAUGUCAAUUAGCUGUUGGGCAACUUGAUUGCUUAGUAGCGUAGCUAACGCGUGAAAUUGACCGCCUGGGGAGUACGGUCGCAAGAUUAAAACUCAAAGGAAUUGACGGGGACCCGCACAAGCGGUGGAUGAUGUGGAUUAAUUCGAAGCAACGCGAAGAACCUUACCAGGUCUUGACAUCCCUCUGACCGCUCUAGAGAUAGAGUUUUCCUUCGGGACAGAGGUGACAGGUGGUGCAUGGUUGUCGUCAGCUCGUGUCGUGAGAAG
Molecule: ribosomal RNA, 507 nt
Filed under: uncultured bacterium
Lineage: Bacteria
Description: bacterial SSU rRNA
Rfam family: Bacterial small subunit ribosomal RNA
Source: RNAcentral